AUUGAACGCUGGCGGCAUGCCUUACACAUGCAAGUCGAACGGUAACGGGCCUUCGGGUGCCGACGAGUGGCGAACGGGUGAGUAAUACAUCGGAACGUGCCCGAUCGUGGGGGAUAACGAGGCGAAAGCUUUGCUAAUACCGCAUACGAUCUACGGAUGAAAGCAGGGGACGGCAAGGCCUGGCGCGGAGGGAGCGGCCGAUGGCAGAUUAGGUAGUUGGUGGGAUAAAGGCUUACCAAGCCGACGAUCUGUAGUUGGUCUGAGAGGAUGAUCAGCCACACUGGGACUGAGACACGGCCCAGACUCCUACGGGAGGCAGCAGUGGGGAAUUUUGGACAAUGGGCGCAAGCCUGAUCCAGCCAUGCCGCGUGCAGGAUGAAGGCCUUCGGGUUGUAAACUGCUUUUGUACGGAACGAAAAGCCUUCUUUUAAUACAGGAGGGUCAUGACGGUACCGUAAGAAUAAGCACCGGCUAACUACGUG
This 482-nucleotide ribosomal RNA is filed under the name uncultured bacterium. Its description in RNAcentral is "partial 16S ribosomal RNA". It matches the Rfam family "Bacterial small subunit ribosomal RNA", at positions 30 to 507 of the family's 1533-position model. The record is from RNAcentral.